This 459-nucleotide ribosomal RNA is filed under the name uncultured bacterium. RNAcentral describes it as "bacterial SSU rRNA". It matches the Rfam family "Bacterial small subunit ribosomal RNA", at positions 29 to 506 of the family's 1533-position model. The record is from RNAcentral.
ACGAACGCUGGCGGCGUGCUUAACACAUGCAAGUCGAACGGAAAGGCCCUUCGGGGUACUCGAGUGGCGAACGGGUGAGUAACACGUGGGUGAUCUGCCUCGUACUUUGGGAUAAGCCUGGGAAACUGGGUCUAAUACCGAAUAUGACCUUCCCUCGCAUGGGGGUUGGUGGAAACUUUUUGGGUACGAGAUGGGCCCGCGGCCUAUCAGCUUGUUGGUGGGGUAAUGGCCUACCAAGGCGACGACGGGUAGCCGGCCUGAGAGGGCGACCGGCCACACUGGGACUGAGACACGGCCCAGACUCCUACGGGAGGCAGCAGUGGGGAAUAUUGCACAAUGGGCGCAAGCCUGAUGCAGCGACGCCGCGUGAGGGAUGACGGCCUUCGGGUUGUAAACCUCUUUCACCAGGGACGAAGAGAAAUUGACGGUACCUGGAGAAGAAGCACCGGCCAACUACGU